RNAcentral lists this ribosomal RNA (255 nucleotides) under uncultured bacterium. RNAcentral describes it as "partial 16S ribosomal RNA". It matches the Rfam family "Bacterial small subunit ribosomal RNA", at positions 524 to 776 of the family's 1533-position model. The record is from RNAcentral.
UACGAAGGGGGCUAGCGUUGCUCGGAAUCACUGGGCGUAAAGGGUGCGUAGGCGGGUCUUUAAGUCAGGGGUGAAAUCCUGGAGCUCAACUCCAGAACUGCCUUUGAUACUGAGGAUCUUGAGUUCGGGGAGAGGUGAGUGGAACUGCGAGUGUAGAGGUGAAAUUCGUAGAUAUUCGCAAGAACGACCAGUGGCGAAGGCGGCUCACUGGCCCGAUACUGACGCUGAGGCACGAAAGCGUGGGGAGCAAACAGG